This is a long non-coding RNA of Acinonyx jubatus (cheetah), 1623 nucleotides long. RefSeq lists it as uncharacterized. The transcript is spliced from 3 exons. The record is from RefSeq and is a predicted model, not a curated record. NCBI's taxonomy places the organism in Eukaryota, Metazoa, Chordata, Mammalia, Carnivora, Felidae.
AUUAUAGAGCUGAGAUGCUCUGGAGGCCCUUGAGUUCAAUUACUUCACUUGAGAGGCAGGGAAGCCAAGAGCCAGAGAAGUUAAGGAGUUUGCUUGAGGCCACACACCCAAGUGAUGAACGGUGGCACCAACGGGGACCCGAAUCCAACCUACCGGGAUGAUCUCCGGUACGGGGACGCACGCCGUACACGGCGCGGAGUCUGCUUCGGGCAUCGCGAGCGAGCGUGAACACACGCCGGCCGUCUCAUCUGGGCUGCGCCCUCGCUCCCGUCUGUUCAGGUCGCUGGUGUUUGCUGACGUAUGAAGGUAAACCCGAGCGGUCACGUCGCCCCCGCUCCGUAUCUUCACCCACAUCUGCUCGUCUGCACCAAGGACAUCUCCUUCGAUGACCACAACACCAGCACUGGAACAAAGUAAGCUGAUGAAAUGGGUUCUUUGGUGCCGCUGAGCAUCCGGCCCACGUUCCAAUCUCCCGAGUAGUACCGGGAAUGCCUUUUUGCGAGGGUCACGUGAAUAAGGAUCUAGGCCAGAGCUGGCUGGUGACGCCGGGCCUGACCUCCAGCGGCACCUGUAACGCAGACGCCCACCAGUGCGCGGGCUGCCCAGCGCCGGGCUCUCUUCUCUAGGCGCUACAGGCCAGGGGGAGAGGGGCGGUGUGCGCAUGCUCUCUCCACCCUGACUCGGAAGCAGAUGGUCCGACUGGCUCUGCCAAUCAGGUAGCUUGUUCGCUAGCCAGCUAAUUACCCUCUAGUGCAGCCUGAUCGUCAGGACCCCCACUCCGUCCGCCAAACGGGAAAUAGUACGAGCUCGCGGAGGUGAGUGAGUGCGGGGCAGACGGACGGGGGGCUGGCACCUGGGGACUCGGGACCCCGCCGGCUUUAGAGACGCGACCCCACGGAGGGCGGCAGGAACCACGUCCUCCACGGUGUCCCGCCGGGGCUCACGUACCCCUGGGAUGGCAACAAGAGACACGUGUCUCCUCCCAGAGGCCGAGUGACAGGGUGGCGUUUGAAGUUCCACCUUCAGAUGCCCAGACCUGUGUUUUCUUCCCUCUGCCUGAGGUUACUCGCCGGUCACCGUGAGCGGCACGGCACUGAGCCGGGACGGGAGAACGUGUAGGUUUAGGAGAAGAAGCCUCGUUUCUUGUGGAAACCGGCUGCUCCCUCCCACGGGUGAGGUCGCGGGGCCCCGCUGCGUCGGCAGCCGCCUUCCUCGUGCUCCCCGGGCGCCCGGCGCAGGGCCGGCGCGUCACCCACCGGGAGCUGCGGGACAGCCUGCUGGCGGCACGCUCUAGCUCCACCUGCUGGCCGCCUUGGGACACCCGCCUGUUCCCAAAGCGUGGAGGGACUGUCCAAACUCUCAAUGGGUUCUGGGCCAGCAACAAAGCCUACUUCUCCCCACCACGAAACACAAUGCCUCCGCUGAGGGUUUUAGGGACAGGAAACCACUUGGCCUGGCACGAAGGUCGCUUUGCUCCACUUUGAGAGGCACCGCUGCUCCUCGGCAGCGUCUGGGGCAGUGGUGCGGGCAGCGGGCUCCCGGUGGAUCACGUGCACCUUUGGCAUAACACUCAUUUACCCAGAACUAAAGGACCCACAGGUGGUAACGGGGUGUGUGUGGGGG